Molecule: ribosomal RNA, 265 nt
Filed under: Bicosoecida sp. CB-2014
Lineage: Eukaryota; Bigyra; Bicosoecida
Description: partial Bacterial large subunit ribosomal RNA
Rfam family: Bacterial large subunit ribosomal RNA
Source: RNAcentral
UGGUUCUCCUCGAAAUAGCUUUAGGGCUAGCCUUGUGUAGUAGUAUAUGGGGGUAGAGCACUGACUGAGGUAGGGGCCUAACCAGGUUACCAAACUCUAUCAAACUCCGAAUACCGUAUAUGUAAGCACAGGAGUCAGACUGCGGGAGCUAAGUUCCGUGGUCAAAAGGGAAAGAGCCCAGAUCGUCAAUUAAGGUCCCAAAGAUAUAGCUAAGUGGCAAACGAUGUGAUUUUGCGUAAACAACCAGGAUGUUGGCUUAGAAGCA